This 169-nucleotide unclassified non-coding RNA is filed under the name uncultured Inocybe. Its description in RNAcentral is "sequence contains ITS2". The record is from RNAcentral. Lineage: Eukaryota; Fungi; Basidiomycota; Agaricomycetes; Agaricales; Cortinariaceae.
AAUUCUCAACCACACCUGCCUGGUGUGGCUUGGAUUUGGGCUGUUGCAGGCUUGUAGUCUGCUCCCCUGAAAUUAAUUAGCGGUACCUUGGUGGAACUGUCUACAGGUGUGAUAAUUAUCUACAUCCUAGACAUCUGCUGGAAUGCUGCUUUCUAAACGUAUUUGACAA